UACGUAGGGGGCGAGCGUUGUCCGAAGUUACUGGGCGUAAAGCGCGCGUAGGCGGCUUUUUAAGUCUGGGGUGAAAGGUUCAACGCUUAACGUGAACAGUGCCUUGGAUACUGGGAAGCUUGAAUGUGGCAGAGGAUAGUGGAAUGGCUGGUGUAGCGGUGAAAUGCGUAGAUAUCAGUCGGAACACCCAUGGCGAAGGCAGCUAUCUGGGCUAACAUUGACGCUGAGGUGCGAAAGCGUGGGGAGCGAACGGG
RNAcentral lists this ribosomal RNA (254 nucleotides) under uncultured bacterium. Its description in RNAcentral is "partial 16S ribosomal RNA". It matches the Rfam family "Bacterial small subunit ribosomal RNA", at positions 524 to 776 of the family's 1533-position model. The record is from RNAcentral.